RNAcentral lists this ribosomal RNA (433 nucleotides) under uncultured bacterium. Its description in RNAcentral is "partial 16S ribosomal RNA". It matches the Rfam family "Bacterial small subunit ribosomal RNA", at positions 29 to 507 of the family's 1533-position model. The record is from RNAcentral.
AACGAACGCUGGCGGCAUGCCUAACACAUGCAAGUCGAACGAGACCUUCGGGUCUAGUGGCGCACGGGUGCGUAACGCGUGGGAACCUGCCCUUAGGUUCGGAAUAACUCCCCGAAAGGGGUGCUAAUACCGGAUAAUGUCUUCGGACCAAAGAUUUAUCGACUUUGGAUGGGCCCGCGUUGGAUUAGCUAGUUGGUAGGGUAAAAGCCUACCAAGGCGACGAUCCAUAGCUGGUCUGAGAGGAUGAUCAGCCACACUGGGACUGAGACACGGCCCAGACUCCUACGGGAGGCAGCAGUGGGGAAUAUUGGACAAUGGGCUAAAGCCUGAUCCAGCAAUGCCGCGUGAGUGAUGAAGGCCUUAGGGUUGUAAAGCUCUUUUACCCGGGAUGAUAAUGACAGUACCGGGAGAAUAAGCUCCGGCUAACUCCGUG